GGAUUAGAUACCCUGGUAGUCCACGCCGUAAACGAUGUCUACUAGUUGUCGGUGGUCUUGUACUGCUGGUAACGCAGCUAACGCGAUAAGUAGACCGCCUGGGGAGUACGGCCGCAAGGUUAAAACUCAAAUGAAUUGACGGGGGCCCGCACAAGCGGUGGAGCAUGUGGUUUAAUUCGAAGCAACGCGAAGAACCUUACCUGGCCUUGACAUCCUGCGAAUCUUUUGGAGACAAGAGAGUGCCUUCGGGAACGCAGAGACAGGUGCUGCAUGGCUGUCGUCAGCUCGUGCC
RNAcentral lists this ribosomal RNA (292 nucleotides) under uncultured bacterium. RNAcentral's name for it is "partial 16S ribosomal RNA". It matches the Rfam family "Bacterial small subunit ribosomal RNA", at positions 775 to 1066 of the family's 1533-position model. The record is from RNAcentral.